This 400-nucleotide ribosomal RNA is filed under the name Candidatus Bathyarchaeota archaeon. RNAcentral describes it as "bacterial SSU rRNA". It matches the Rfam family "Archaeal small subunit ribosomal RNA", at positions 279 to 681 of the family's 1478-position model. Lineage: Archaea; Thermoproteati; Candidatus Bathyarchaeota. The record is from RNAcentral.
AGAGCGGGAGCCCGGAGAUGGGCACUGAGACAAGGGCCCAGGCCCUACGGGGCGCAGCAGGUGCGAAAACUCCGCAAUGCGCGAAAGCGUGACGGGGCCAUCCCGAGUGCUGUCCGCUGAGGACAGCUUUUCCAUGGUGUAAUGAGCCGUGGGAAUAAGAAGGGGGCAAGUCUGGUGUCAGCCGCCGCGGUAAAACCAGCUCUUCGAGUGGUAGGGAUAAUUAUUGGGCCUAAAGCGUCCGUAGCUGGCUCAACAAGUCUUCUGUUAAAUCCGGCGACCUAAUCGUUGGGCUGCAGGAGAUACUGUUGGACUAGGGGGCGGAAGAAGCCGACGGUACUCCCGGGGUAGGGGUGAAAUCCUAUAAUCCCGGGAAGACCACCAGUGGCGAAGGCUGUCGGCU